This 18-nucleotide transfer RNA is filed under the name Stenella longirostris (spinner dolphin). RNAcentral's name for it is "partial tRNA-Pro". The record is from RNAcentral. Lineage: Eukaryota; Metazoa; Chordata; Mammalia; Artiodactyla; Delphinidae.
AAGGAAUAGUUUAUGUAG